RNAcentral lists this ribosomal RNA (336 nucleotides) under uncultured bacterium. RNAcentral describes it as "bacterial SSU rRNA". It matches the Rfam family "Bacterial small subunit ribosomal RNA", at positions 567 to 898 of the family's 1533-position model. The record is from RNAcentral.
ACGCGUAGGUGGUCCUUCAAGUCAGAUGUCAAAUACUCCUGGCUUAACUGGGAGUGGUCAUUUGUAUACUGCUGGACUUGAGGGUGGUAGAGGGAGGUGGAAUUCCCGGUGUAGUGGUGAAAUGCGUAGAUAUCGGGAGGAACACCAGUGGCGAAAGCGGCCUCCUAGGCCACUCCUGACACUGAGGCGCGAAAGCGUGGGGAGCGAACAGGAUCAGAUACCCUGGUAGUCCACGCCCUAAACUGUGGAAACUAGGUACAGGGAGUAUCGACCCUUCCUGCGCCCGUAGCUAACGCGUUAAGUUUCCCGCCUGGGGACUACGGUCGCAAGACUAAA